Molecule: ribosomal RNA, 548 nt
Filed under: uncultured bacterium
Lineage: Bacteria
Description: bacterial SSU rRNA
Rfam family: Bacterial small subunit ribosomal RNA
Source: RNAcentral
UAGAUCUCAGAAUUCGGCUUAGAGUUUGAUCCUGGCUCAGAACGAACGCUGGCGGCGUGCCUAACACAUGCAAGUCGAACGUGAUUGAGGGGCUUGCUCCUCAUGAAAGUGGCGCACGGGUGAGUAACGCGUAGAUAAUCUGCCUGGUGAUUUGGGAUAACACUUCAAAAGGGGUGCUAAUACCGGAUAAGCCUACGGAGUCCUUGGACUCUGCGGAAUAAGGAGGGGACCUUCGGGCCUUCCGUCAUCAUAUGAGUCUGCGUACCAUUAGCUAGUUGGUAGGGUAAAGGCCUACCAAGGCGCCGAUGGUUAGCUGGUCUGAGAGUAUGAUCAGCCACACUGGAACUGAGACACGGCCCAGACUCCUACGAGAGCCAGCAGUGGGGAAUUUUGGACAAUGGGCGCAAGCCUGAUCCAGCAAUACCGCGUGCAGCAAGAAGGCCUUCGGGUCGUAAACUGCUUUUGGACGGAACGAUAACGGUCUGGGUUAAUACCUCGGGCUAAUGACGGGACCGUAAGAAUAAGCACCGGCGAACUACGUGUCAGCC